AGACUGGGAAAUCUCUGCAGGCAAAUGUGGUGUUGCUAUAGUUAUCACACAAUUACCUGUAGAGAUUCUGCAAUCU
Non-coding RNA from Sarcophilus harrisii (Tasmanian devil), 76 nucleotides. The record is from Rfam. Lineage: Eukaryota; Metazoa; Chordata; Mammalia; Dasyuromorphia; Dasyuridae.